AUUGAACGCUGGUGGCAUGCUUAACACAUGCAAGUCGAACGGUAACAGGUCUUCGGAUGCUGACGAGUGGCGGACGGGUGAGUAACGCGUAGGAAUCUGCCCAUUUGAGGGGGAUACCAGUUGGAAACGACUGUUAAUACCGCAUAAUAUCUGUGGAUUAAAGGUGGCUUAGGCUGCCGCAGAUGGAUGAGCCUGCGUUGGAUUAGCUAGUUGGUGGGGUAAGGGCCUACCAAGGCUACGAUCCAUAGCUGAUUUGAGAGGAUGAUCAGCCACAUUGGGACUGAGACACGGCCCAAACUCCUACGGGAGGCAGCAGUGGGGAAUAUUGGACAAUGGGGGAAACCCUGAUCCAGCAAUGCCGCGUGAGUGAAGAAGGCCUCGGUUGUAAGACUCUUUCAGUCGAGAAGAAAAGGAC
Molecule: ribosomal RNA, 415 nt
Filed under: uncultured bacterium
Lineage: Bacteria
Description: bacterial SSU rRNA
Rfam family: Bacterial small subunit ribosomal RNA
Source: RNAcentral